Molecule: ribosomal RNA, 250 nt
Filed under: uncultured bacterium
Lineage: Bacteria
Description: partial 16S ribosomal RNA
Rfam family: Bacterial small subunit ribosomal RNA
Source: RNAcentral
UACGGGGGGGCAAGCGUUGUUCGGAAUUACUGGGCGUAAAGGGCUUGUAGGCGGCCAACUAAGUCCGACGUGAAAUCCCCAGGCUUAACCUGGGAACUGCGUCGGAUACUGGAUGGCUUGAAUUCGGGAGAGGGAUGCAGAAUUCCAGGUGUAGCGGUGAAAUGCGUAGAUAUCUGGAGGAAUACCGGUGGCGAAGGCGGCAUCCUGGACCGACAUUGACGCUGAGGAGCGAAAGCUAGGGAGCAACGGG